UCUCCGUAGGUGAACCUGCGGAGGGAUCAUUACAGAGUUCAUGCCCUACCGGGUAGAUCUCCCACCCUAUGUUAUUAUUACUUUGUUGCUUUGGCGGGCCGUUAGGCUCCGGCCCGACUACCGGCCCCGGCUGGUGAGCGCCCGCCAGAGGACCCAAAACCCUGAAUAUUAGUGUCGUCUGAGUACUAUAUAGUAGUUAAAACUUUCAACAACGGAUCUCUUGGUUCUG
Molecule: unclassified non-coding RNA, 229 nt
Filed under: plant metagenome
Description: partial contains small subunit ribosomal RNA, internal transcribed spacer 1, and 5.8S ribosomal RNA
Source: RNAcentral